Piliocolobus tephrosceles (Ugandan red Colobus) is the source of this 2388-nucleotide long non-coding RNA. The record is from Ensembl. Lineage: Eukaryota; Metazoa; Chordata; Mammalia; Primates; Cercopithecidae.
AUGCAUAAUACUGAUACAUCAGAUGACGGAAGUGCAAGAAGCAGAUUCAGUAACGAAGAAAUUAAUAAAAUAAAUGAUUAUAAAAAUAAAAAAAAAAAAAGUACAGAUAAAAUAACAAAUGAUUUAAAACAAGUUUUUCAUCGCAAUUUAAGUUUAAUGUUAAAUGUAGAUGAAACUGAAGAUUCGGAUUCUAAUUUAGAUAAUAUACAAUUACCCAACCCUAGAAUAACAAUAACGCUAAUGCAUACGCCUAAGAUUAAUAAAGGGUUGGGUUUAGUGUCGAUAGAGCAAAAACAUAUGAAAUUCUCUAUUUGGGAAAACUUAGGCCAUAUAUAUUUCAGAGGCACAUUAAAAGACUUGGAGGUUACUUAUCUUAAUGUAAGUGUUUUUUUUUUUUUUUUUACCACUUUUGCUCACGUGGAUAUAUAUAUAUAUAUAUACCGACUUAUACAUGCACAACCCACACCGUUUAAUCUGUUCCCCACACCGUUUAAUCUGUUCCCCCCACCUCUCUUUUCUCCUUUUUUUUUUUUUUUUUUUUUUUUUUUUUUUUCCCAGAUAAACGUCGAAGACAUGUCUGCACCAAAAGGAGCCAGGAAUAUCGGGACGUGUAUAGUUCCGUUAAAAGGUAUUGUCGACUACCCAUAUAUAACGCACGAUUUGGAAGCCCCUCCAUGGGUAAUUGAAGAAGCAAAACAUGAGGGAUGGUAUAAUAAAUUAACAGAAUGGAAAUUCGGUUCUGCAGAAGGUAAAGUUGCGAUUUCAUGUACACCCAGAUAUAGACAACAAGGUGAUAUAUAUUAUAUAGAUAGUAAACAUUCUUAUUUGAUUGUACAUAUAUUAAACGUUGAUCAAAUUAUUACUAUCGACAAUAUAAAGGAGUUAGAUACAUAUGUAGAAGUAUCGUUUGAUGAAACCAGUCGUAGAACAAAAUUAAUUAAGAAGACAUUAAAACCAAAUUAUGAUACUCAGCUAGCUAUACCAUUACGAUUUAGCAACAAAAACCAAAUGACUUAUGAAAACUUUUGUAAUAAAGGAGUGAUAUAUAUAGACGUUUGGGGACAAACAGAUGAAAUUAUUUAUAUUGGUGGUAUAUCUGUAACACCACAUGAAAUUUUUUUUACUGAAAAAAAUAUAAGAAGAGAUACAACAAAAUUAGAAUAUAUAGAUUCAGAAACAAAUACAAAAACUAAUUACGAAACAAUUGUUUAUCAUAGUAGUAAAAAGUUAUUAUUUUUACAUGAAGAUCAAAGAUCCUCAAAUAUACAUUUUAAUAUAUGGACAUAUCCUGGUAUUCUAGAUUUACAACCUAAUAAAUUAUAUCGAUAUCCAAUUGUAGAUAGUGUGAAAUAUUUACCUAUAAAAUUAGCAAAAAAAUAUGAAAAAUUAAAAAAAUUAUAUAUAGAAGUAUUAUCAACUAUUAAAGCAAUACCUGAAAAUUUAGAAGAUAUAAAUAAAGCAAACAGAUAUUUAAAUUAUGAAUUAUUAAAUCAAAGAAAAGAAUAUAAAUUCUUACCUACAUUAAUUACUAAUGUUAAGUCACCAUAUUGUCCUGAAUCAACUAAUGCUAUAUUUCACUAUGUGAGAUGUAUACCUUUUAUUCAUAAAAAAGAAAAUUUGGCAUUUACACCUGACUUUACUAUUCAGUUAAAAGGAGGAAAUGCAUUAGACCAUAGUUUGUUAUUAUGUAGUUUAUUUUUAGGUAUCCCCAUAAUAUCGUUUGUAUGUUUUGGUACACUAUGGGAUAGUCAAAAACAUGUAUGGGUAGCUACAUUAGAACAUAAAGAAAAAAAAAAUUAUGGAUUUAUUAAAUUUUGGGAAACAACUACAGGUAAUAUAUAUGUAUUAAAAAAAAGAUUUUUAGAUAUAAAUAGACUGAAAGGAUUAGAAAUGAAAUUAAACGAAACUAAAUACAAACUUCAUUUAAGAGGUGAUUAUUUAAAUAAAACUUACAAUAAAAAAAUAAACAAAAAUCGUAUUAAAGAAGAUACUAAACAAUAUAUAGAUAGUCUUUUUCAAAAUCGAGAAACAAACACACCUACAGGUGGAAAACCAUUACCAUAUAAAACAAUUGAUUUAAUUUUUAAUAACAAAAAUAUAUAUCUUAAUUUACAAGAUCCAAACCCUUUAAAUGUUUGGUAUGAUUAUUGGAAUAUAGAAUAUUGGUUUCCUUUUUCAUCAGUUGAAUAUAAUAUUAAACCUUGUUUUACUAUUUAUAAUUUUUGUCAUAAAACUGAAGACAUAGAACUUAAUAAAAUGGCAAAAGAUUUAAGAAGUAAAAUAGAANNNNNNNNNNNNNNNNNNNNNNNNNNNNNNNNNNNNNNNNNNNNNNNNNNNNNNNNNNNNNNNNNNNNNNNNNNNNNNNNNNNNNNNNNNNNNNNNNNNNAG